CCUACGGGCGGCAGCAGUGGGGAAUAUUGGACAAUGGGGGGAACCCUGAUCCAGCCAUGCCGCGUGUGUGAAGAAGGCCCUCGGGUUGUAAAGCACUUUCAGUGAGGAAGAACGCCUGGUGGUUAAUACCCAUCAGGAAAGACAUCACUCACAGAAGAAGCACCGGCUAACUCCGUGCCAGCAGCCGCGGUAAUACGGAGGGUGCGAGCGUUAAUCGGAAUUACUGGGCGUAAAGCGCGCGUAGGUGGCUUGAUAAGCCGGUUGUGAAAGCCCCGGGCUCAACCUGGGAACGGCAUCCGGAACUGGCAAGCUAGAGUGCAGGAGAGGAAGGUAGAAUUCCCGAUGUAGCGGUGAAAUGCGUAGAGAUCGGGAGGAAUACCAGUGGCGAAGGCGGCCUUCUGGACUGACACUGACACUGAGGUGCGAAAGCGUGGGUAGCAAACAGGAUUAGAUACCCUCAGUAGUC
This 466-nucleotide ribosomal RNA is filed under the name Vreelandella stevensii. Its description in RNAcentral is "partial 16S ribosomal RNA". It matches the Rfam family "Bacterial small subunit ribosomal RNA", at positions 338 to 795 of the family's 1533-position model. The record is from RNAcentral. Lineage: Bacteria; Pseudomonadati; Pseudomonadota; Gammaproteobacteria; Oceanospirillales; Halomonadaceae.